GACGAACGCUGGCGGCGUGCUUAACACAUGCAAGUCGAACGGAAAGGCCCUGCUUUUGUGGGGUGCUCGAGUGGCGAACGGGUGAGUAACACGUGAGUAACCUGCCCUUGACUUUGGGAUAACUUCAGGAAACUGGGGCUAAUACCGGAUAGGAGCUCCUGCUGCAUGGUGGGGGUUGGAAAGUUUCGGCGGUUGGGGAUGGACUCGCGGUUUAUCAGCUUGUUGGUGGGGUAGUGGCUUACCAAGGCUUUGACGGGUAGCCGGCCUGAGAGGGUGACCGGCCACAUUGGGACUGAGAUACGGCCCAGACUCCUACGGGAGGCAGCAGUGGGGAAUAUUGCACAAUGGGCGGAAGCCUGAUGCAGCAACGCCGCGUGCGGGAUGACGGCCUUCGGGUUGUAACCCGCUUUCGCCUGUGACGAAGCGUGAGUGACGGUAAUGGGUAAAGAAGCACCGGCUAACUACGUG
This 468-nucleotide ribosomal RNA is filed under the name uncultured bacterium. Its description in RNAcentral is "partial 16S ribosomal RNA". It matches the Rfam family "Bacterial small subunit ribosomal RNA", at positions 28 to 507 of the family's 1533-position model. The record is from RNAcentral.